Molecule: non-coding RNA, 211 nt
Organism: Schizosaccharomyces pombe (fission yeast)
Lineage: Eukaryota; Fungi; Ascomycota; Schizosaccharomycetes; Schizosaccharomycetales; Schizosaccharomycetaceae
Source: the annotation of a GenBank genome assembly
AUUUAUUUAUAUUUAUAACCUAAAUCGUAUAAAACAACAGCAUCGUUAACUAAUCCAUCACUUUAUGAAAAUAAAAUAAUUUUUAGCGUAUACUUCCCGGGACGUAAAUAUGAGGAAAUAAAGGGGUGAAGGGCUCACGUAGUAAAUCCAAGGCGAAGAAUGAACGACAAAUGAGGACACAGUAAAAGCAUGAAUUUGACGGUUUGUACAA